RNAcentral lists this ribosomal RNA (386 nucleotides) under uncultured bacterium. Its description in RNAcentral is "bacterial SSU rRNA". It matches the Rfam family "Bacterial small subunit ribosomal RNA", at positions 30 to 412 of the family's 1533-position model. The record is from RNAcentral.
AUUGAACGCUGGCGGCAUGCCUUACACAUGCAAGUCGAACGGCAGCACGGGAGCAAUCCUGGUGGCGAGUGGCGAACGGGUGAGUAAUAUAUCGGAACGUGCCCAGUCGUGGGGGAUAACGUAGCGAAAGCUACGCUAAUACCGCAUACGAUCUAUGGAUGAAAGCGGGGGGAUCGCAAGACCUCGCGCGAUUGGAGCGGCCGAUAUCAGAUUAGGUAGUUGGUGAGGUAAAGGCUCACCAAGCCGACGAUCUGUAGCUGGUCUGAGAGGACGACCAGCCACACUGGGACUGAGACACGGCCCAGACUCCUACGGGAGGCAGCAGUGGGGGAAUUUUUGGGACAAUGGGCGCAAGCCUGAUCCAGCAAUGCCGCGUGCAGGAUGAA